UUCCCCAUAGCAGCCGCACAACCUCUCCUCUCUUUUCCUUCUCUGUACACUUUUCCUCUUUUUCUCUCUAAAAACCAGAACCACCGUCGGCCACCAUGGCUAGUUAAUGCACCAGCAGCUGCUGGAGCAACCGCCGCCCUCAUCCUUUUUUCUCUCCCUCCAGUGAAACCCCGCCGGCCAGUCAUCAGCAAAACCCCUCCCAACUAAUAAUACGCCGCAUGCAACCACCGACGAACCCCCUCUUCUCUGUUCUUUUUUCCACUGGCUAAGCAUCGUUGAACGGAUAACAACACCAGACAGCCGCCGCUCCAGACAGAGGAACCCACCCCAAUUGACUCUUCCAACAGCCCCGUUGAAAAGCUUACCGCCUUUCAUCACUGCUCCAUGCUCCUUUCCCAGUGCCUCCAUCUUGUGAAUCAGCCACCUCCAGCCAUUCAUGGCUACCUCUUCCAUCUAUAAUCAUCGCCUCUCUAUCCGCCACCCCGAUGCUCCUUCAUGUUCCAUCUCUUCUUCAACCAAACAAAAUGACGACGAUAACAAAAAUCACAGUGACGAAAUCAUGCAAGUGCAUGGUGGAUUCAUAUCUGUCUUAGGUUUGUUUAUGUUUAAUUUUUAGCCUAAAACCUCUUCUACCCUUUUCCAAAGUUUUUGACAGAUUCCAUGAUUAAAAUUUGUAAGAAUUGAUUGAGAAUUGCAUCAAAAUUCUUGACGAUUGGAGUUUGUUUAGUCAACUAUGAUAUCAUAGAGUUUUAUUAUUCAAUUGAAGAAUUUUAGUAUGUGAUUUUGACAUGAUAAGUUUGGUUUACCAUUUGAGCUGAUUAACUCGUAUAUCUGUUCCCUCUCUAAUUGAUUUGUUCUCUUUAUUCAAAUGGCUUGGCAUUUAGCUGAUUUUGUUAGCUUCUAUUUUGGUGGAGUUUCUUCCAAGCCCUGGUGCUCAACGGUGGAACUUCUUUCGAAUUUAUUUGAUCUUCAUGUUUAUAGUAGGAAAUCUUCGUUAAUUGGUUAUUUCAAAUAUUCUUUUAUUUCUUUGGCAGAACUUUACACGAUUUCAUACUAUUAAUUGUGUUAGUCAAAAAGGAAAUUGGAGUGAUUGAUAUUUUCUUUUCCUUUAUUUUAUUGAAUAGAUUGAAUAGAUCUUAUUCUUAGGGAAAUCUCCUUGGCUGAUCGCAUUGAAUAUUUGUUUCCCUUUUAUUGCCCUGAUUAUAUUUUGCCUAAUCUGUCAUUAUUGAUUGAUACAAGUGUUUAUGGUUAGUUGUCAAUAGCGGGUAGAUUUUGACAGAUGGUAUGGGAAUAUUUAUGGUCAUUUAAUACAUUUUUCUUCCCCUUGAUUGAUUGAGUUUACUGAUUUUUCUUAGAAUAUUGUGGUUUCCUUUUUUGAUGCUAAUUGAUUCUUACAUUUUUUCCCUUUUAACUCUUUAUGGUUUCCACUAUAUAAAAUAUACCCUUUCUUAUUAUUACAUUCACUCCGAAUCCCCUCUGCUCUCUCGCAUAUACAAAGGACAAAGCUUUUUCACUUUCCUCUUCUUUUAAACAAUUUUACACACUAUAUUCUCUAUAAUUUGCAAUCUCUACACUCCCUCGUACAAAAGUUACUUGAUUUUUUUUUCUGAGUUGCAUUUUUACCUUCGGAGGUUUGGUCUCAAUCUGUCCAUGGCAAUUCGUGUUGACUUUUAUUAUUAUUAGGUUUUCUUAUUAAAGCCGGUUAUCAUCAAUCGGUAAGUCCCUGACGACGUAGUUUUCUUUAUUGAUGAUGCUAGUAAACAUGUUUCUAGAAAUUAUUCGGUGUUUGCUUGCUAUGUCUGUGUUGUGUUAUAUUUUCGCUUGUACUUCUAGUACAUAUUGUUUCACAGGUGUAAGUAGACAGUUUCGGGAAUUUGAAAAGUCGCUGGAAUAUUAGGGAGGGGGAUGCACUUUCCUUUUCUUUUAUUUAGUUGUUUAUUUUAAUUCAUUGUGUUGUAACAAUUUUUGUAAACCUUUAUUAUGUAAUAAUAAUAAUUGGAACUACUCGGGGG
This 2012-nucleotide long non-coding RNA is filed under the name Capsicum annuum. RNAcentral's name for it is "long non-coding RNA (CANN_LNC001056)". Lineage: Eukaryota; Viridiplantae; Streptophyta; Magnoliopsida; Solanales; Solanaceae. The record is from RNAcentral.